RNAcentral lists this ribosomal RNA (253 nucleotides) under uncultured bacterium. RNAcentral's name for it is "partial 16S ribosomal RNA". It matches the Rfam family "Bacterial small subunit ribosomal RNA", at positions 524 to 776 of the family's 1533-position model. The record is from RNAcentral.
UACGUAGGGGGCAAGCGUUGUCCGGAUUUAUUGGGCGUAAAGAGCGUGUAGGCGGCUUUACAGGUCCGUUGUGAAAACUCGAGGCUCAACCUCGAGACGCCGAUGGAAACCAUCUAACUAGAGUCCGGAAGAGGAGAGUGGAAUUCCUGGUGUAGCGGUGAAAUGCGCAGAUAUCAGGAAGAACACCCGUGGCUAAGGCGGCUCUCUAGUACGGUACUGACGCUGAGACGCGAAAGCGUGGGGAGCGAACAGG